This 598-nucleotide ribosomal RNA is filed under the name uncultured soil bacterium. Its description in RNAcentral is "bacterial SSU rRNA". It matches the Rfam family "Bacterial small subunit ribosomal RNA", at positions 32 to 623 of the family's 1533-position model. The record is from RNAcentral.
GACGCUGGCGGCAUGCCUUACACAUGCAAGUCGAGCGGCAGCGCGGGGGCAACCCUGGCGGCGAGCGGCGCACGGGUGAGUAAUGCAUCGGAACGUGUCCACUUGUGGGGGAUAACCAGUCGAAAGACUGGCUAAUACCGCAUGAGAUCGAGAGAUGAAAGCAGGGGACCCGCAAGGGCCUUGCGCGAGAGGAGCGGCCGAUGCCCGAUUAGCUAGUUGGUGGGGUAAUGGCCCACCAAGGCGACGAUCGGUAGCUGGUUUGAGAGAACGACCAGCCACACUGGGACUGAGACACGGCCCAGACUCCUACGGGAGGCAGCAGUGGGGAAUUUUGGACAAUGGGGGCAACCCUGAUCCAGCCAUGCCGCGUGUGUGAAGAAGGCCUUCGGGUUGUAAAGCACUUUCGGCCGGAACGAAAUCGCACGGGUGAACAUCCCGUGUGGAUGACGGUACCGGAAGAAGAAGCACCGGCUAACUACGUGCCAGCAGCCGCGGUAAUACGUAGGGUGCGAGCGUUAAUCGGAAUUACUGGGCGUAAAGUGUGCGCAGGCGGUCUCGCAAGUCAAGUGUGAAAGCCCCGGGCUUAACCUGGGAACUG